GACGAACGCUGGCGGCGUGCUUAACACAUGCAAGUCGAACGGUGAAGCGCCUUCCUUUUUGGUGGGUGUGGAUGAGUGGCGAACGGGUGAGUAACACGUGAGUAACCUGCCCCCUUCUUCUGGAUAACCGCAUGAAAGUGUGGCUAAUACGGGAUAUUCUGGGUCUGUCGCAUGAUGGGUCUGGGAAAGAUAUUGUUUCGGUGGGGGAUGGGCUCGCGGCCUACCAGCUUGUUGGUGGGGUGAUGGCCUACCAAGGCGGUGACGGGUAGCCGGCCUGAGAGGGUGGACGGUCACACUGGGACUGAGACACGGCCCAGACUCCUACGGGAGGCAGCAGUGGGGAAUAUUGCACAAUGGGCGCAAGCCUGAUGCAGCGACGCCGCGUGAGGGAUGGAGGCCUUCGGGUUGUGAACCUCUUUCGCCAGUGAAGCAGGCCUGCCUCGUUUGUGGGUGGGUUGACGGUAGCUGGAUAAGAAGCGCCGGCUAACUACGUG
RNAcentral lists this ribosomal RNA (494 nucleotides) under uncultured bacterium. RNAcentral describes it as "partial 16S ribosomal RNA". It matches the Rfam family "Bacterial small subunit ribosomal RNA", at positions 28 to 507 of the family's 1533-position model. The record is from RNAcentral.